Molecule: ribosomal RNA, 460 nt
Filed under: uncultured bacterium
Lineage: Bacteria
Description: partial 16S ribosomal RNA
Rfam family: Bacterial small subunit ribosomal RNA
Source: RNAcentral
CCUACGGGUGACAGCAGUGAGGAAUAUUGGUCAAUGGGCUUACGCCUGAACCAGCCAAGUCGCGUGAGGGAAGACUGCCCUAUGGGUUGUAAACCUCUUUUGUCAGGGAGCAAUUGGCGCUACGUGUAGCGUUAUCGCGAGUACCUGAAGAAAAAGCAUCGGCUAACUCCGUGCCAGCAGCCGCGGUAAUACGGAGGAUGCGAGCGUUAUCCGGAUUUAUUGGGUUUAAGGGGUGCGUAGGCGGAAUGCCAAGUCAGCGGUAAAAUCGCGGGGCUCAACCUCGCUCCGCCGUUGAAACUGGCGGUCUUGAGUGGGCGAGAAGUAUGCGGAAUGCGUGGUGUAGCGGUGAAAUGCAUAGAUAUCACGCAGAACUCCGAUUGCGAAGGCAGCAUACCGGCGCCCAACUGACGCUGAAGCACGAAAGCGUGGGUAUCGAACAGGAUUAGAUACCCUAGUAGUC